GAUGAACGCUGGCGGCGUGCCUAAUACAUGCAAGUCGAGCGAACAGACGAGGAGCUUGCUCCUCUGACGUUAGCGGCGGACGGGUGAGUAACACGUGGAUAACCUACCUAUAAGACUGGGAUAACUUCGGGAAACCGGAGCUAAUACCGGAUAAUAUAUUGAACCGCAUGGUUCAAUAGUGAAAGACGGUUUUGCUGUCACUUAUAGAUGGAUCCGCGCCGCAUUAGCUAGUUGGUAAGGUAACGGCUUACCAAGGCGACGAUGCGUAGCCGACCUGAGCGGGUGAUCGGCUACACUGUAACUGAGACACGGUCCAGACUCCUACGGGAGGCAGCAGUAGGGAAUCUUCCGCAAUGGGCGAAAGCCUGACGGAGCAACGCCGCGUGAGUGAUGAAGGUCUUCGGAUCGUAAAACUCUGUUAUUAGGGAAGAACAAAUGUGUAAAUAACUAUGCACGUCUUGACGGUACCUAAUCAGAAAGCCACGGCUAACUACGUG
RNAcentral lists this ribosomal RNA (497 nucleotides) under uncultured bacterium. RNAcentral describes it as "partial 16S ribosomal RNA". It matches the Rfam family "Bacterial small subunit ribosomal RNA", at positions 28 to 507 of the family's 1533-position model. The record is from RNAcentral.